AGCUUCGUGCAAGUGGCAGUAUCGUAGCCAAUGAGGUUUAUCCGAGGCGCGAUUAUUGCUAAUUGAAAAUUCUUUGUAAACAUGUUUAAUGGCUGAAUAAUGUUCUCAUGAAUAUUUUGACAUUCAUUUAAUCAUUACCCUGUUUUUGGA
Non-coding RNA from Pteropus alecto (black flying fox), 150 nucleotides. The record is from Rfam. Lineage: Eukaryota; Metazoa; Chordata; Mammalia; Chiroptera; Pteropodidae.